UGAAAAGCUCACAAGAAGACGUCCUGCCAGCUGUAAAGAGACCUGUGCCCCUUCCUCAUGAGCUGAGGUUUCUGAUGCCAACAACAGCAGGUCUUCAGCCAACAAAGACGACUCUAACAGUUCCAGUGUCAGAGGCACUUGUGAUUACUCCUGGUACGUCUGCAGAGCCCAGUCAUCCGGCGUUGCAGCCAAUAA
Long non-coding RNA from Etheostoma spectabile (orangethroat darter), 195 nucleotides. RefSeq lists it as uncharacterized. Lineage: Eukaryota; Metazoa; Chordata; Actinopteri; Perciformes; Percidae. The record is from RefSeq and is a predicted model, not a curated record. The transcript has 3 exons.